UACGGGGGGGGCAAGCGUUGUUCGGAAUUACUGGGCGUAAAGGGCUCGUAGGCGGCCAACUAAGUCAGACGUGAAAUCCCCAGGCUCAACCUGGGAACUGCGUCUGAUACUGGAUGGCUUGAGUUUGGGAGAGGGAUGCGGAAUUCCAGGUGUAGCGGUGAAAUGCGUAGAUAUCUGGAGGAACACCGGUGGCGAAGGCGGCAUCCUGGACCAACACUGACACUGAGGAGCGAAAGCCAGGGGAGCAAACGGG
This 253-nucleotide ribosomal RNA is filed under the name uncultured bacterium. RNAcentral describes it as "partial 16S ribosomal RNA". It matches the Rfam family "Bacterial small subunit ribosomal RNA", at positions 524 to 776 of the family's 1533-position model. The record is from RNAcentral.